Molecule: transfer RNA, 73 nt
Filed under: Anaerolineaceae bacterium
Lineage: Bacteria; Bacillati; Chloroflexota; Anaerolineae; Anaerolineales; Anaerolineaceae
Description: tRNA-Arg
Rfam family: tRNA
About the family: Transfer RNA (tRNA) molecules are approximately 80 nucleotides in length.
Source: RNAcentral
GCCUCCGUAGCUCAGCGGAUAGAGCUGUUGCCUUCUAAGCAAAGGGUCGUAGGUUCGAUUCCUACCGGGGGCG